UGUAAUAAUGUAGUACUGCAUAUAUCUAGAAGGCAUAUGUAUGGUAGAUUGAAGUCGUUAGAGAGUAUUAAGGCCAUGGAACAGAAGUAUUGCCUUCACAUUGCUGCUCUAGGACUGUAUAUCCCGAUUGGAAUGGGUCCCAUAAUGCGUAGUACAUAACCAUUAAGACAUCUGUCAUAAGCUUCGACUUUGUGACAUACCUAUUGAAUUUAUGGCCCUGUGUUUAAACGAAGUGGCCAACAGGAUUGUGAAGCUUGUCCUAAAUAGACAGGGGAAGGCUUUGUUGAGUUGAGUUGAGAUGAUACUUUCCAGUCUGUUACCUGCUCUCUAUUAGCCGUGGUUACAAUAUUCAAUUAUUAUUCGGUUGAUUAAGUCAUCUAAUCACAGUUAGCAGUGACUUUUUCUGUUUUUGUAAUUUUUUUAGUGAUUGUAAGUAGGCAUGUACUCAUGUAAGUUCUUGAUUUUUUGUUCUCAUAUUAACUUGCAACCUCGUGAUUAUAUGCGGAUUUGGGUACCCACAAAUCCUGGAGGGGUUGAGAGGCUUGCCCUAGGCAUCAUUGAAACUGAGUCAGAUUUCUAUCUCCACAGCUUGUGGGGUUUGCCUAAUGAGUUAUCAUAGAACUUCACCAUUUUGCUGUUCCAUUAUGAUGGUUGGACAAGUGAGUGAUGAAUUUGAGUGGUCAAAGCGGGCUAUCCACAUAAGUGUCCGGAAACAAACUAAAUGGUAAAUCUGUUAUGCCUACUUCUGCCUCCUAACAACGUUUUUAGAUGGGCUGUAUUGGCUUGUUAUUGAAGCAUAUUAGAUUAACAAAUUUUUACCUAAUUUUAUAUCUAAACUCGUUGAAAUUUGUGCAAGGUGGUAUGCCAAACGUUUUCUGCAUCCUAAGAUUGUGGCGACCUGUGAUUAUGUUUUUAUUAGGGAUGACGACCUCGGGGUUGGGCAUUCUGAUCCAGAGGAGCGAGUGAAAAUUUCAGUAUCUUUGAAGAUGUUGUUUAAAUGGAUCGGGUUUAUUAAUGUUAUCAAUUAAAUGCAGAUAUAUUAUAUUAAACUGGUGAGGAAGCAUAGAUUGGAAAUUUCUCAACUAGGUUUUGUGGAGCCAAAUGAUGGUUUUACAUGGCAGAUGACCAAAAAGAGGGAUGAUAGUGAAGUUCACAAGUGAGAUGAUCUGCAUUUAUUGUUGCUUUGUCAGAUAAACUUGUACUGUUGCUAGACACUCUUUCAAAUUUUUUUUUUAAAGUUUGUCCUCCAGAGAAACCAAAGAGAUACGGUGCACUGAUCCACACUUGCCACCAUGUGCAGCAUUUGUUGAAAUCAUGGCACCUGUGUUUUCUCUAGACGCAUGGCGCUGUGUUUGGCAUAUCAUUCAGGUACAAAACAUUAUCUUCACGUUUUCCUAUCGCUCCCAACCCUUCAAGCUGUCUUUGGUAAGUAUUAAAAUUCUUUUCUUUUAUUGCAGAAUGACUUGGUCCAUGGCUGGGGUCUUGAUUUUGCUCUUUGAAAAUGCGUAGACAUCACUUAUCACCUUGUGCUAUCUCUAUUCAUAUGCCUGUCUAGCCUAUAAUUAU
Long non-coding RNA from Rhododendron vialii, 1566 nucleotides. RefSeq lists it as uncharacterized. The record is from RefSeq and is a predicted model, not a curated record. The transcript is spliced from 3 exons. Lineage: Eukaryota; Viridiplantae; Streptophyta; Magnoliopsida; Ericales; Ericaceae.